RNAcentral lists this transfer RNA (56 nucleotides) under Typhlatya taina. Its description in RNAcentral is "tRNA-Leu". The record is from RNAcentral. Lineage: Eukaryota; Metazoa; Arthropoda; Malacostraca; Decapoda; Atyidae.
GACAGAUGAAUGUGUUAGAUUUAGGAUCUAACUAUGCGAAAAAUUCGCAGGUAAUA